Molecule: long non-coding RNA, 4892 nt
Filed under: Homo sapiens (human)
Lineage: Eukaryota; Metazoa; Chordata; Mammalia; Primates; Hominidae
Description: HSALNT0292417
Source: RNAcentral
CUCGCAGAUGGAAUUCAAAUACCUGUCGUGUUCAAGACAGCCCCAUGGGGAUUAUAGGUGGAUGUCAGAACUAUACCCAGAUUCAGACAUGUGACACUUUCGGGCUGAAGCACUUAAGAGCCAGUGUGCCCUGUCCAUUUCUGUCUUCUGUCCUGUGGAUUUGGAAGCAUGUGUUGACAGAACAAUGUCUUAUGGUGAAGGAAGCCUAAACCCCUGAGUCAUUGGAUGGAGGAGAGCCCAUGUUGACCCAUAAAGGACUUCAUGGUCUCGCUCUGUCACCCAGGCUGGAGUGCAGGCGUGCUAUCUUGGCUCACUGCAACUUCUGCUUCCCGAGUUCAAGAGAUCCUCAUACCUCAGCCUCCUGAGUAGCCGGGACUACAGGCAUGCGCCACCACACCCAGAUAUGACUUAGAAUAUGAUUGAAUAUGAAUACAUGAUUGAAGAUAUAUUAUAAAAUUGAGAUACUUGUUGCAACACAACAGGGAAAUGAAUACAGAAGGGCUCAAAGUAUUUUAUAGAGGGUAUACGAGCAAUUUGACGUCGCAGAAAACCUGUCAGAAAGAAGCACCAUGGAAUAGAGGAAAGAGGCCCGGAAUCCAGCCCCGGGAACUGUGACAGCCUCUGGGGUGGGGACUCUCGUGGAAAGGCUAGAUGAUGGAGUCACGUGCUCCCUUCCCGUUCACUAGCUGCUGAUUGGCCAACUGCUCCUGCCAGCUGUCCCUGCACUCCAGCUUCCUACCAUAUGCUCCAGAAUAACGUCUGGAAAGUGAGCCCCAUCCAUCAAGUUUGUCACACCUUGCACUCAAUCUGCUACCUUCUCUACAGUAUUUGUCCACGUCUCUGCCCUGCUUCAAAUCCUUCAGAGGCUCCCCAUCACCCACAGGGAUGAUCUUUCUGAAAUGGAUUUGGCCAUGCCAGUCUCCUGCCUGAAACAGCCCUCCUGGCUCCUUGUCACUCAAAGGAAAAGGCAAACUCCUCAAGACUGCACAUAAUGCCCACCUUCCCAACCAGCCUCUCCUACUGCCACUCUCUCUCCUACACCCUACCUUCCAAACCCUACUUGGGGUUCACCCUCACAUGCUGGAGUUUUCCCAUCUCUGAGACUUCAUUCAGGCAGUUCCUUCUGGCUUCGGAGGCUUCUUUGUUCCUAAAGUUCAUACUUUAAGACCUAGCUGAAAUAUCAAGGCUUCCUGGACUCUGCAGGUGACACGAGCCACUGUGCUCCUGGAUGCUUCAGAACCUGUGCAGAUCUCUGUCUUCACUCCUACUAUGGCAUCUCCUAGCAUGUUCUACACUGAGCUCCACUGGGCCUUGCAUGUCAGUAUCCCGAAUUCUGAAUGAAGCUUGGAACAUGGGAGGUGCAUCCACUAACAACAUGAAGAAUGAAGACAUGUGUGAGUAAAUGAACAGUUCUCUUCUUAGUGGAAGUUGGCAAAUAGUUGUGAACUUUAAUAUGAUUCUGACAUAUUAAUAUCUUUAUUUUUAGAUAACAGAGUAGAUGGAAACCAUAUGGUAAAACCUAAAGCAAAAUCCACCCUCUAACCUUUCUGUAAGUGAAACACCCAAUUUUCUCGAAGGUGCAGUAAAAGAGCUAAAGCACAGGAGACUAAGUCAUGCAGGCCUAGCUUAGUGUUCUCCUGCCAAUGAUCUGCUGCAAAGACCACCAGGGACACAUCUGUAGUUGAACAUGUUGGGUUAUUCCUCAGCGCAGAGGGAGGAGCAAUGAGGCAUCUCUGAAAGAGGGUGUUAGAAAGAAUGUAUCACAAGAUUUGGGCUUAAGGUAAGUAAUUUUGGGGAUGGUCAACAAAGUGGGGUUUUUCUCUGAAUUGGAUGCUGUCAUAAUGUGGGGGUAAUUCUGUGAUUAUCCCAACAAUACUUAUCUGGAAGGCAAGAAGAACAGAGCAAGGCUGAAACCAGGCUAGAGAAAUGUUUGAUCAGUUUUCCAAUUUUGACAAUGUUCAUGUUUUGCCUGUGUUCAGCCAUGAUGACCUGGUGGUCUUGAUUUUGUCUUGACCUAUCAUGGUCACUAAGUGGCCUUGCCUUAUGCUGAUGGUAUGUGAAAUGUUGAUGUUCAACAGGAGAAUGCCAGCACCUUGCUGUGGGGGUGGGCCUGCCCCUGACUGUCAGAGGCUGCUGUUCUUUUUCUUACCAUCACACAUUUAGCAGCCCUAGGAUUCUGUGCAGGGUACUUAACGUCUUUGGGUGCCAGUUUCCUCAUCUGUAAAAUGAGGCUAGAAAUACCCUCUGUGAAGGAGAAAACAUGUUGAUUGUCUAGCACAGAGUCUGAAACAUAGGAGAUACUCCAAAAAACAUUAGGUCCCUUAUGUCUGGGAGUGUGGCUUUAUCCUCCCUUUAUAGACAAUGGUUUUAGGCCUAAUAAUCACCUGUGGGUUUCUUUUCAAAUGGCCUCUCCUUCAUAGCACAUAGGUGCAAUUGCAGAUGAGCUCUCAGUUAUUAAUAAAAGAAUGGUGCUGGACCAGCCUAGGAAAAUUGUGCAGAAUGAAUGUGGAGUUAAUGCAAACAACCUGGCUGCAGGGCCCUGUGGAUAACAGAAACUUCCACCGUUUGCAGACUACUCCACAUGUCCUUUAACUAUCUAUGAAUUAUGUGCUCGACUACAGCAGCCAAGUGGACUCACAGAACUGGAGUAAUAAUGGUAUAUCUCUACAGAAACUUUUACAGUUUAUAUACGGUCUUUCCAAUGUCACAUAGUCUUACUUGAGCUACACACCAGGACUGUGCCUUUAGAGCUCCUGUCUUCAUUUUACAGCAAAGAAACCUGGGCUCCCUGCAGUUGGGUGACCUGUGCAGUUACUCAGCCAGCACACAGCAGAGCUGGGACAUACUGCUUUUUUUUUUUAAUCUUUUUUAGAUUUUUAUUUGUGGUGAAACAUAAACAACAUAACCUUUGCCAUUUUAACCACGUUUAAGUGUACAAUUCAGCAGCAUUAAUUACAUUCACAAUGUUGUGCAACCAUCAGCAUCAUUUCCAGAACUCUUUCAUCACCCCAAACAGAAACUCUGUACCCAUUAAGCAAUUAACUCCCCAUUCAUUCCCCAAAUCCCCAGCCCUAGUCUAAUCUACUUUCCAUCUCCACGAUUUUACCUAGUCUUGUUUUUAAAUCAAUUUCAGUGAGGUAUAAUUUACAUACAAUGAAAUGUACCCAUUUUAAAUGUACAGUUUAAUGAACUUGACAAAUAUAUACACCCAUGUCAGCUAUAGAGCAUUUCUUCACCCUAAAGACUUCUCUUGUGCCUUCUCAGUCAACUCCCUAUCUCAGUGCCAGCUCUGAUCUGCUUUUGAUUGCUAUAGACUAGGUUUGUUUUUUCUAGAGUUUCAUGUAAACAUACUCAGGUCUUUUUAAGCCUACUAUCCUCUCCACUACCACGUGUUCCCUCUCAUAGAAGGUUGAAGCUGGAAGGGCCCUCACACCUACAGCUCCUUUUCCGCAUGAAGAAACUGAAGCCCCAGACACAAGGGGUACUUUCCCAAAGCUAUACAGGAGACAGUGGAGAGCCAGGGAGCAGCUCAGGGUUCAGACUCCCAUUUCUGUGCUGGUUUCCUUGCUUUCUUCUCCCAGCCCCAGCUCUUUGGCAUGAAGUAUAAGGGCAAAUGGUUUCCUAUGUCACAUUAUAACAAGACGCUCUUGGAAGCUACCUAAAUUGUGCUGAUUACUUUCUGCCCAUUUAAUAUUUCUUGUAUUUGUUUUUGGAAAGAUUGACUACCUUUGACAAAAGUAUGUCAAAAGCAAUACAUCUUACUAGUGGAGCGAAGACACUGCAUGCUGACAAAGGUGAUCUCAGAUGUGAGGUCGAUGGUGCGCCAUGCAAUCAGCUUGCUGAGUGAGCCUACUUAUGCCCCAUCCCGGGGGCCUAGGGUAAGAAAAGUGCCAAGCGAAGCUGAGGAUCAGACUAAAGCUGGAAGGUGUCAAGGCACAGGCUGAGUCAUCAGAACACCUUCCCUGAAUUGUGUCAAACAAGUGUACAUGUGCUCAAGUGUAUCUGGAUUCUGAUUUGGCUGCACAGUCACUGUUUUCCAGAUGUUUGCAGAAGAAAUAUGAGCUGGAGGAGACUCACUGAAAGCUGGAACUAGAAGGAUGCACACUGCUCAUCCAAGCCAAUUCACUUAUUUUACCAAUGAUAAAACUGAGUCUCAGAGAAGUCAUACGCUUGCCCAAAGACACAGCUUGUGGUGGAGGAGUCAACACCAGAACUCUGGUCCAGGACUGCAAAAAAACACUUAACAUGUGCUAAUAAUGAGGAUAAAAGAUACUUCAAAUUCUGGGAGUUCUAUAAUGUUUGAGCACAUAUACCAUUGAAUCCUUUUAAUAACCCAUCGCUUACACAGAUGAGGAAACCAAGGCUCAUAGAAAUAAAGUGCUUUGCCAAAAGGCACAAAACUGGUCAGUAAUAAAUCUGAUCUCCAGGUUCCCAGUCCAGAACUUUCUGCAGCACUAUCUUUUUGUUCCCUUUAACUACCAGAAGCUUUAACCCAAAAUGAGGCUUCAACUAUAAAAGCUAUUUAAGACCUUAUGGCUGCGUAUCUCUGCCCUAAGUUUUCUCUUGAUCCUUAUUUUAUAUUCUAAUGUUUAAAACUUGUUCCCCAAAUUUUUAAAGUUUGCAUUCAUUUUAUUUCAAUAAGCCACGCCAAAAUCUGUGUGUCAUAAGCUAUCUAUACGUAAAUAAAUGAACGAAUGAAUGAGCAAACAAACAAAAUCUUAAGAGGCAGAGUAACAUGGUGGAAAAAUACCAGGCUUACAUUCAAUUCAAUACCACUUUGUCUAUUGUCUUCAUCUUUGAGCCUCACUUUCAUUAUCUGUCAAACAGGUCUAACAAAAUUUAUCAUUAAGCAUUAUUAUAAGUCUAAAAAUAAACAUGGAACAUAUGAAGAA